RNAcentral lists this ribosomal RNA (641 nucleotides) under uncultured bacterium. RNAcentral's name for it is "bacterial SSU rRNA". It matches the Rfam family "Bacterial small subunit ribosomal RNA", at positions 44 to 715 of the family's 1533-position model. The record is from RNAcentral.
AUGCUUAACACAUGCAAGUCGAACGUGCCUUCGGGCAAGUGGCAGACGGCUGAGUAACGCGUGAGUAACACACCCUUCGGUGGGGUAUAGCCUCGGGAAACUGAGGGUAAUCCCGCAUACGAUCCCUACGCUCUGGUGUAGGGAUGAAAGCCUUCGGGCGCCGGAGGAGUGGCUCGCGUCCUAUCAGGUAGUUGGUGAGGUAACGGCUCAUCAAGCCGAUGACGGGUAGCUGGUCUUAGAGGACGAUCAGCCAGAGGGGGACUGAGACACGGCCCCCACUCCUACGGGAGGCAGCAGCAGGGAAUUUUGGGCAAUGGACGAAAGUCUGACCCAGCGACGUCGCGUGGGGGAUGAAGGCUCUAGGGCUGUAAACCCCUUUUCCGAGGGAAGAGGAAGGACGGUACCUCGGGAAUAAGCUCCGGCUAACUACGUGCCAGCAGCCGCGGUAAUACGUAGGGAGCGAGCGUUACCCGGAAUUACUGGGCGUAAAGAGCACGUAGGCGGUUGGAUAAGUCUUCUGUGAAAGCUCCUGGCUCAACUGGGAGAGGUCAGGGGAUACUAUUCGACUUGAGGGCUGUAGAGGUAAGCGGAAUUCCCGGUGUAGCGGUGAAAUGCGUAGAUAUCGGAAGGAACACCAGUGG